CCUACGGGCGGCUGCAGUGGGGAAUAUUGGACAAUGGGGGGAACCCUGAUCCAGCCAUGCUGCGUGUGUGAAGAAGGCCCUCGGGUUGUAAAGCACUUUCAGUGAGGAAGAACGCCUGGUGGUUAAUACCCAUCAGGAAAGACAUCACUCACAGAAGAAGCACCGGCUAACUCCGUGCCAGCAGCCGCGGUAAUACGGAGGGUGCGAGCGUUAAUCGGAAUUACUGGGCGUAAAGCGCGCGUAGGUGGCUUGAUAAGCCGGUUGUGAAAGCCCCGGGCUCAACCUGGGAACGGCAUCCGGAACUGUCAAGCUAGAGUGCAGGAGAGGAAGGUAGAAUUCCCGGUGUAGCGGUGAAAUGCGUAGAGAUCGGGAGGAAUACCAGUGGCGAAGGCGGCCUUCUGGACUGACACUGACACUGAGGUGCGAAAGCGUGGGUAGCAAACAGGAUUAGAUACCCUUGUAGUC
This 465-nucleotide ribosomal RNA is filed under the name Vreelandella stevensii. Its description in RNAcentral is "partial 16S ribosomal RNA". It matches the Rfam family "Bacterial small subunit ribosomal RNA", at positions 338 to 795 of the family's 1533-position model. Lineage: Bacteria; Pseudomonadati; Pseudomonadota; Gammaproteobacteria; Oceanospirillales; Halomonadaceae. The record is from RNAcentral.